CAUAGACAUUUUAUUUUUCUCCAUCAUCCACACUGUUCAAAGUCAUUUAGAUGAUAAUUAUGUACCCACCAGAAACUAUUGACAACAGUUCGAAUGAAUAUGGCUCCAAAUUGAGUCUUGAAGAAAUUAUCCAGCUGAAAAAAAUGGACACCGAAUAAUACGUUUUAUUAUAUUAACAAUUAAACAAUGUAAGGAUGGUAUCAAGAUGGCAUAUGAUGAAUUAAAAUGAAGAUGAUCAUGAAGAAGAUGAUCAUGAUUAUGAUCUUGUGAAGCUCCUUUCAGAACAACUAACGACACUAUCAAUGGUAAAAUUAAAUCAAAUUAGUUACCUGGGUAGCCACUUGAUUUGCCAAUUUCAGGAACUCUGGUGAACUGCUGUUGAUCAGAGAGCUAUUGAAGGUCAAUGUUAGGCUGAACUGCAGUGACAAUUGAAGUGUGGUCGGUGGAGCAUCUGUUGCUGAGGUUAACUUUGUAGCUGUUGUGUUGACUACUGUGGUACUUACGCACAUGCAUUUACACACAAACUGUUGGUGAACUGCAUCCCCUUUUGACUUCCCACACUGUUUAUCACUAUCCAGCUGAGUCUGUUCCUUUCCCUCAAGGUUAGAAACCUCUGGCAGUUUUUACUCCUUUUACCAUCUGUCCUCUGUGACCAUGGGCACACUAAAUACUCACACACAUUUCUUUCCCUCUACAGCCUCUACUAGAUUUUCUGGGACUAAUCGGACUAAUCAAUCACUACAUUGAUCAUUACAUUGAUUAUUCAUUAACCAUGCUGUAUGACUAAUAAUUCAUCAUGGUUUAUUGAUUCAUUUAGCUUUAUUAGAUAAUUCUCUUAUCAAUUCCACCCUUAAAUGAUUAAAUAAUUCACCAUGAUGAUCAAACGCUAUAUGGGAACACUACUAAUCACAUGCUAUAUGUAACACAAUUAAUCACAUGCUAUAUGUAAGCACUAUUAAUCACAUGCUAUAUGUAAACACAAUUAAUCACACGCUAUAAGUAAACACAAUUGUGAUACAAGACUUUAACAAAACCAAGACAUGAAUAUUCCUCCUAUACUCAUCAAUGACUGUCCUAGGCCUAUUUCCAAUUAUGACACUUCGAUUCAGGAUUUUCAUCAUAAUUUUCAUUAAAGGAACAGUCAAUCUAAACGUUGAAAAUUGUUUCAUCAAACAUUGGCAUCUCAUGAUAAUAAAAAGAAACGGAGCCAUCUUCCUGGCCUGGAGGGCCGCAUUCGCCAUCCCACUGAUCGGUGCUCGGAAUCGGUCCAUAUCUCACCAACUGCUGCGUCAUCGAUCUCUCGAGAGUCCUGGUGAUUAAACCUCUAGCACGGGACGAUACAACAUCCACACAACACAAACACACUCAUACAGGUGAAAGCAGCCCAUAAUACAGUUCUUACCACACUUUUCCAUUUCCCAAACAUGGGCUGUGUUAUCAGGAAUGUACGUGCAGCAAUGAACCUAAUCAUUCUACCUACACCGCCCUCUUCUGCCAAUAACAUAUCGCGAGUCAGUCUAUUUUACCCGGCCAUGAGGGAGAUGGCGGAUAAUUGGUCAGAGAACCUCUUUACUGCAUCCCCGGUUUCAUUCAUGAAUCUCUGUUGAUUAUAAAAGGUGUCAUUAAUCCAAUCCACAUUUUUAUUUAUUGUCAACCACCAAAAUAAUGUAGUGUUAAAGCCUUCACAUAUUUGAUUCACAGCUUUGUAUUCAUCUGGAACUUCCCUGAAGAUGCCAAUAGCAUCCAUCUAGACAAAGCUACUCCCAUCCUGGUCAAAACUCCUCCUGUGCCUACUUUAGCCUCCUAUAACUGGCCUCUGAUGACUAACUCGAACUGGUUGGACCUAUAACCCCACCCUUUGUGGUAAUUUGUCGUAUGCUUCCUUUGCUGGUACUAGCCCACCCUACAUCAGUUAUAGGUGCUGGGUUAGCUGGAGGAGCUGUUGUGUUAACAAUAUUUGUCGUUGAAGCUGCUGUGGUCGUUGUGGGAGCAUCUGUGGGUGUUGUGGGGAUGGCUGUGGUUGUUGUGCGAGGAUCUGUGGUUUUUGUUGGAGCAGCUGUGGUAGUUGUUGGAGACGCUGUAGUUGAUUUGGGAGCAGUUGUUGUUGUUGUUGGAGUAUCUGUGGUUGUUUUAGCCCCAAUUGUAGUUGUCGUUGGAGCUUCUGGGGUUGUUGUGGAUGUAUCUGUGGUUGUUUUGGGAGAUUCUGUGGUUAUUGUGGGAGCAGCUGUGGUUGUUGUGCGAGCAGCUGUGGUUGUUAUGCGAGCAGCUGUGGUGGUUGUGGGAGCAUCUGUGGUUGUUGUGAGAGUUGAUGUGGUUGUUGUUGGAGUAUCUGUGGUUGUUGUCGCUCCAGUUGUAGUUGUCAUUGGAGCUACUGUGGUUGUGUUGGGAGCAGAUGUGGGUGUUCUGAGGAUAGAUGUGGUUGUUGUGGGUGCAUCUGUGGUUGUUGUGGGAGAUUCUAUGGUUAUUGUGGAAACAGCUGUGGUUGUUGUGGGAGCAGCUGUGCUUGUUGUGCGAGCAGCUGUGGUUGUUGUGGGAGAAGCUGUGGUUGAUGUGGGAGCAGCUGUGGUUGUUUUAGGAGUAUCUGUUGUUGUUGUAGCCCUAAAUGUAGUUGUCGUUGGAGCUGAUGUUGUUGCUGUGGGAGAAGCUGUGGUUGUUGUGGGGACGGCUGUGUUUGUUGUGGGUGCGUCUUUGGCUGUUGUUGGAGAAGCAGUGGUUGUUGUUGGAGAAGCUGUGGUUGUUGUGGUGCUAAGGAUGUUGUGGAUGUAUCUGUGGUUGUUGUGGGAGCAACUGUCAUUGUUGUUGAGGCAGUUGUGGUUGUUGUUGGAGUAUCUGUGGUUGUUGUAGCCCCAAAUGUAUUUGUCUUUUGAGCUGCUGAAGAUGUUGUGGGAGCAUCAGUGGUUGUUGUUGGAACAUCUGGGGUUGUUGUCGGAGCAGCUGUGGUUGUUGUGGGAGCAGCUGUGGUUGUUGUGGGAGCAGCUGUGGUUGUUGUGGGAGAAGCUGUGGUUGAUGUGGGAGCAGCUGUGGUUAUUGUGUGAGCAGCUGUGUUUGUUUUGGGAGUAUCUGUAGUUCUUGUAGCCCCAAAUGUAGUUGUCGUUGGAGCUGCUAUGGUUGUUGUGGGAGAAGCUGUGGGUGAUGUGGGUGCAGCUGUGGUUGUUGUGGGAACAACUGUGGUUGUUGUGGGAGCAGCUGUGGUUGUUGUGAGAGCAGCUGUGGUUGUUGUGAGAGCAGCUUUGGUUGUUGUGGGAGCAGCUGUGUUUGUUGAGGUAUCAGCUGUGGCUGUUGGUAGAGCAGCUCUGGUUGUUGUGGGAGCAGCAAUGGUUGUUGUGGGAGAAACUGUGGUUGUUGUGGGAGAAGUAGUGGUUGUUGUUGGAGCCACUGUGGUUGUUGUGGGUGCAGAUGUGCUUGUUGUUGGAGCCACUAUGGUUGUUGUUGGAAAGUCUGGGGUUGUUGUCAGAGCAGCUGUGGUUGUUGUGGGAGCAACCGUGGUUGUUGUGGGAGCAGCUGUGGUUGCUUUGGGUGCAGAUGUGGUUGUUGUUGGAGCCACAGUGGUUGUUGUUGGAACGUCUGGGGUUGUUGUCGGAGCAUCUGUGGUUGUUGUGGGAAAAGCUGUGGUUGUUGUGGGAGUAGCUGUGGUUGUUGUGGGAGCCACUGUGUUUGUUGUAGGAGAAGCUGUGAGUGUUGGGAGAGCAUCUGUGGUUGUUAUGGGAGCAGCUGUGGUUGUUGUUGGAGCAGCUGUGGUUGUUGUUGGAGAAGCCGUGGUUGUUGUUGGAACAUAUUAGGUUGUUGUCAGAGAAGCUGUGGUUGUUUUGGGAACAGCUGUGGAUGUUGUGGGAGCAACUGUGGUUGGUGUAGGAGCAGCUGUGGAUGUUGUGGGACCAGCUGUGUUUGUUGUGGUAUCAGCUGUGGCUGUUGUUAAAGCAGAUGUGGUGGUUGUGGGAGCAUCUCUGGUUGUUGUGGUAGCAGCUGUGGCUGUUGUUAGAGCAGCUGUGGUUGUUGUGGGAGAAGCUGUGGUUGUUGUGGGAGAAGUAGUGGUUGUUGUUGGAGCCACCGUGGUUGCUGUUGGAGCCACUGUGGUUGUUUUUUGAAAGUCUGGGGUUGUUGUCGGAGCAUCUGUGGUUGUUGUGGAAACAGCUGUGAUUGUUGUGGAAGCAACCGUCGUUGUUGUGGGAGAAGCUGUGGUUGUUGUGGGUGAUGAUGUGGUUGUUGUUGGAGCCACUGUGGUUGUUGUUGGAUCAUCUAUGGUUGUUGUCGGAGCAGCUGUGGUUGUUGUUGGAAAAGCUGUGGUUGUUGUGGGAGCAACAGUGGUUCUUGUGGGAGCAGCUGUGGUUGUUAUGGGAACAGCUGUGGUUGUUGUGGGUGAUGAUGUGGUUGUUGUUGGAGCCACUGUGGUUGUUGUUGGAUCAUCUGUGGUUGUUGUCGGAGCAGCUGUGGUUGUUGUUGGAGCCACUGUGGUGGUUGUGGGAGGAUCUUCGGUUGUUGUGGGAGCAUCUUCGGUUGUUGUGGGUGGAUCUGUGGUUGUUGUGGGAGAAGCUGUGGUUGUUAUGGGAGAAGCAGUGGUUGUUGUUGGAGCCAAUGUCGUUGUUGUGGUUGCAGAUGUGGUUGUUGUUGGAGCUUCUGUAGUGGUUGUGGGAGCAUCUUUGGUUGUUGUGGGAGCAGCUGUGGUUGUUGUGGGUGCAUCUGUGGUUUUUGUGGGAGAAGCUGUGGUUGUUGUUGGAGCAGCUGUAGUUGUUUAUGGAACAUCUGUGGUUGUUGUGGGAGCAUCUUCGGUUGUUGUGGGAGCAUCUUCGGUUGUUGUGGGUGGAUCUGUGGUUGUUGUUGGAGCAGCUGUGGAUGUUGUGGGAGCAGCUGUGGUUGUUGUGGGAGCAACUGUGGUUGUUGUGGGAGCAUCUGUGGUUGUUGUGGGUGCAGAUGUGGUUGUUGUUGGAUCAUCUGGGGUUGUUGUUUUAGCAGCUAUGGUUGUUGUUGGAACAUCUGUGGUUGUUGUGGGAGCAGCUGUGGUUGUUGUGGGUGCAUCUGUGGUUGUUGUGGGAGAUUCUGUGAUUGUUGUCGGAGCAGCUGUGGUUGUUGUGGGAGAAGCUGUGUUUGUUGUGGGAGAAGCAGUGGUUGUUGUUGGAGCCACUGUAGUUGUUGUGGUUGCAGAUGUGGUUGUUGUUGGAGCCACUGUGGUUGUUGAUGGAACGUCUGAGGUGGUUGUCGGAGCAGCUGUGGUUGUUGUUGGAACAUCUGUGGUUGUUGUUGGAGCAGCUGUGGUUGUUGUUGGAACAUCUGUGGUUGUUGUGGGAGCAGAUGUGGUUGUUGUGGGUCCAUCUGUGGUUGUUGUGGGUGCAUCUGUGAUUGUUGUGGGAGAUUCUGUGGUUGUUGUCGGAGUAGCUGUGGUUGUUGUGGGAGAAGCUGUGUUUGUUGUGGGAGAAGCAGUGGUUGUUGUGGGAGAAGUAGUGGUUGUUGUUGGAGCCACCGUCGUUGCUGUUGGAGCCACUGUGGUUGUUGUUUGAAAGUCUGGGGUUGUUGUCGGAACAUCUGUGGUUGAUGUGGAAACAGCUGUGAUUGUUGUGGAAGCAACCGUCGUUGUUGUGGGAGAAGCUGUGGUUGUUGUGCGUGAUGAUGUGGUUGUUGUUGGAGCCACUGUGGUUGUUGUUGGAUCAUCUGUGGUUGUUGUCGGAGCAGCUGUGGUUGUUGUUGGAAAAGCUGUGGUUGUUGUGGGAGCAACCGGGGUUCUUGUGGGAGCAGCUGUGGUUGAUAUGGGAACAGCUGUGGUUGUUGUGGGAGAAAUUGUGGUUGUUGUGGUAGCAACCGUGGUUGUUGUGGGAGCAGCUGUGGUUGUUGUGGGAGAAGCUGUGGUUGUUAUGGGAGAAGCAGUGGUUGUUGUUGGAGCCAAUGUCGUUGUUGUGGUUGCAGAUGUGGUUGUUGUUGGAGCUUCUGUGGUUUUUGUGGGAGAAGCUGUGGUUGUUGUUGGGGCAGCUGUAGUUGUUUAUGGAACCUCUGUGGUUGUUGUGGGAACAGCUGUGGUUGUUAUGGGAGAAGCAGUGGUUGUUGUUGAAGCCAAUGUUGUUGUUGUGGCUGCAGAUGUGGAUGUUGUUGGAGCCACUGUGGUUGUUGUGGGAGCAGCUGUGGUUGUUGUUGGAACAUCUGUGGUUGUUGUGGGAGCAGCUGUGGUUGUUGUGGGAGCAGCUGUGGUUGUUGUGGGUGCAUCUGUGGUUGUUGUGGGUGCAUCUGUGGUUGUUGUGGGAAAUUCUGUGGUUGUUGUCGGAGCAGCUGUGGUUGUUGUGGGAGAAGCUGUGUUUGUUGUGGGAGAAGCAGUGGUUGUUGUGGGAGAAGUAGUGGUUGUUGUUGGAGCCACCGUCGUUGCUGUUGGAGCCACUGUGGUUGUUGUUUGAAAGUCUGGGGUUGUUUUCGGAGCAUCUGUGGUUGUUGUGGAAACAGCUGUGAUUGUUGUGGAAGCAACCGUGGUUGUUGUUGGAGCCACUUUGGUUGUUGUUGGAUCAUCUGUGGUUGUUGUCGGAGCAGCUGUGGUUGUUGUUGGAAAAGCUGUGGUUGUUGUGGGAGCAACCGUGGUUGUUGUGGGAGCAGCUGUCGUUGUUUUGGGAGCAGCUGUGGCUGUUGUGGGAGAAGCAGUGGUUGUUGUAGGAGCAGCUGUGGUUGUUGUUGGAGCAGCUGUUGUUGUUGUUGGAGCAGCUGUGGUUGUUGUUGGAACAGCUGUGGUUGUUAUGGGAGAAGCAGUGGUUGUUGUUGAAGCCAAUGUUGUUGUUGUGGCUGCAGAUGUGGAUGUUGUUGGAGCCACUGUGGUUGUUGUGGGAGCAGCUGUGGUUGUUGUGGGAGCAGCUGUGGUUGUUGUGGGUGGAUCUGUGGUUGUUGUUGGAGCAGCUGUGGUUGUUGUGGGAGCAGCUGUGGUUGUUGUGGGAGCAACCGUGGUUGUUGUGGGUACAGAUGUGGUUGUUUUUGGAUCAUCUGGGGUUGUUGUUGGAGCAGCUGUGGUUGUUGUUGGAACAUCUGUGGUUGUUGUUGGAGCAGUUGUGGUUGUUGUUGGAACAUCUGUGGUUGUUGUGGGAGCAGAUGUGGUUGUUGUGGGAGAAGCUGUGUUUGUUGUGGGAGAAGCAGUGGUUGUUGUUGGAGCCACUGUAGUUGUUGUGGUUGCAGAUGUGGUUGUUGUUGGAACAUCUGUGGUUGUUGUUGGAGCAGCUGUGGUUGUUGUUGGAACAUCUGUGGUUGUUGUGGGAGCAGCUGUGGUUGUUGUGGGAGCAGCUGUGGUUGUUGUGGGUGCAUCUGUGGUUGUUGUGGGUGCAUCUGUGGUUGUUGUGGGAAAUUCUGUGGUUGUUGUCGGAGCAGCUGUGGUUGUUGUCGGAGCAGCUGUGGUUGUUGUGGGAGAAGCUGUGUUUGUUGUGGGAGAAGCAGUGGUUGUUGUGGGAGAAGUAGUGGUUGUUGUUGGAGCCACCGUCGUUGCUGUUGGAGCCACUGUGGUUGUUGUUUGAAAGUCUGGGGUUGUUUUCGGAGCAUCUGUGGUUGUUGUGGAAACAGCUGUGAUUGUUGUGGAAGCAACCGUGGUUUUUGUUGGAGCCACUUUGGUUGUUGUUGGAUCAUCUGUGGUUGUUGUCGGAGCAGCUGUGGUUGUUGUUGGAAAAGCUGUGGUUGUUGUGGGAGCAACCGUGGUUGUUGUGGGAGCAGCUGUCGUUGUUUUGGGAGCAGCUGUGGCUGUUGUGGGAGAAGCAGUGGUUGUUGUAGGAGCAGCUGUGGUUGUUGUUGGAGCAGCUGUUGUUGUUGUUGGAGCAGCUGUGGUUGUUGUUGGAACAUCUGGGGUUGUUGUCGGAGCAGCUGUGGUUGUUGUGGGAAAAGCUGUGGUUGUUGUGGUAGCAACCGUGGUUGUUGUGGGAGCAGCUGUGGUUGUUGUGGGAGCAGCUGUUGUUGUUGUGGGAGAAGCUGUGGUUGUUAUGGGAGAAGCAGUGGUUGUUGUUGGAACCAAUGUCGUUGUUGUGGGUGCAGAUGUGGUUGUUGUUGGAGCUUCUGUAGUGGUUGUGGGAGCAUCUUUGGUUGUUGUGGGAGCAGCUGUGGUUGUUGUGGGUGCAUCUGUGGUUUUUGUGGGAGACGCUUUGGUUGUUGUUGGAGCAGCUGUAGUUGUUUAUUGAACAUCUGUGGUUGUUGUGGGAACAGCUGUGGUUGUUGUGGGAACAGCUGUGGUUGUUGUGGGAGAAGCAGUGGUUGUUGUUGAAGCCAGUGUUGUUGUUGUGGUUGCAGAUGUGGUUGUUGUUGGAGCUUCUGUAGUGGUUGUGGGAGCAUCUUCGGUUGUUGUGGGAGCAGCUGUGGUUGUUGUGGGUGGAUCUGUGGUUGUUGUUGGAGCCACUGUAGUUGUUGUGGUUGCAGAUGUGGUUGUUGUUGGAGCCACUGUGGUUGUUGAUGGAACGUCUGAGGUUGUUGUCGGAGCAUCUGUGAUUGUUGUUGGCACAUCUGUGGUUGUUGUUGGAGCAGCUGGGGUUGUUGUGGGUGCAUCUGUGGUUGUUGUGGGAAAUUCUGUGGUUGUUGUCGUAGCAGCUGUGGUUGUUGUGGGAGAAGCUGUGGUUGUUGUGGGUGCAUCUGUGGUUGUUAUUGGAGCCACUGUGGUUGUUGUUGGAGCCAAUAUUGUUGUUGUGGCUGCAGAUGUGGUUGAUGUUGGAGCCAAUGUGGUGGAUGUGGGAGCAUCUUCGGUUGUUGUGGGAGCAGCUGUGGUUGUUGUGGGUGCAUCUGUGGUUGUUGUUGGAGCAGCUGUGGUUGUUGUGGGAGCAGCUGGAGUUGUUGUGGGUGCAUCUGUGGUUGUUGUCGGAGCAGCUGUGGUUGUUGUGGGAGAAGCUGUGGUUGUUGUUGGAACAUCUGUGGUUGUUGUGGGAUCAGCUGUGGUUGUUGUGGGUGCAGCUGUGGUUGUUGUGGGUGCAUCUGUGGUUGUUGUGGGUGCAUCUGUGGUUGUUGUGGGAGAUUCUGUGGUUGUUGUCGGAGCAGCUGUGGUUGUUGUGGGAGAAGCUGUGUUUGUUGUUGGAGAAGCAGUGGUUGUUGUUGGAGCCACUGUAGUUGUUGUGGUUGCAGAUGUGGUUGUUGUUGGAGCCACUGUGGUUGUUGAUGGAACGUCUGAGGUUGUUGUCGGAGCAUCUGUGGUUGUUGUUGGAACAUCUGUGGUUGUUGUUGGAGCAGCUGGGGUUGUUGUGGGUGCAUCUGUGGUUGUUGUGGGAGAUUCUGUGGUUGUUGUCGGAGCAGCUGUGGUUGUUGUGGGAGAAGAUGUGGUUGUUGUGGGUGCAUCUGUGGUUGUUAUUGGAGCCACUGUGGUUGUUGUUGGAGCCAAUAUUGUUGUUGUGGAUGCAGAUGUGGUUGUUGUUGGAGCCAAUGUGGUGGAUGUGGGAGCAUCUUCGGUUGUUGUGGGAGCAGCUGUGGUUGUUGUGGGUGCAUCUGUGGUUGUUGUUGGAGCAGCUGUGGUUGUUGUGGGAGCAGCUGUGGUUGUUGUGGGUGCAUCUGUGGUUUAUUUGGGAGAUUCUGUGGUUGUUGUCGGAGCAGCUGUGGUUGUUGUGGGAGAAGCUGUGGUUGUUGUUGGAACAUCUGUGGUUGUUGUGGGAGCAGCUGUGGUUGUUGUGGGUGCAGCUGUGGUUGUUGUCGGUGCAUCUGUGGUUGUUGUCGGUGCAUCUGUGGUUGUUGUGGGUGCAUCUGUGGUUGUUGUGGGAGAUUCUGUGGUUGUUGUCGGAGCAGCUGUGGUUGUUGUGGGAGAAGCUGUGUUUGUUGUGGGAGAAGGAGUGGUUGUUGUUGGGGCCACUGUAGUUGUUGUGGUUGCAGAUGUGGUUGUUGUUGGAGCCACUGUGGUUGUUGAUGGAACGUCUGAGGUUGUUGUCGGAGCAGCUGUGGUUGUUGUUGGAACAUCUGUGGUUGUUGUUGGAGCAGCUGUGGUUGUUGUUGGAACAUCUGUGGUUGUUGUGGGAGCAGCUGUGGUUGUUGUGGGUGCAUCUGUGGUUGUUGCGGGAGAUUCUUUGGUUGUUGUCGGAGCAGCUGUGGUUGUUGUGGGAGAAGCUGUGUUUGUUGUGGGAGAAGGAGUGGUUGUUGUUGGGGCCACUGUAGUUGUUGUGGUUGCAGAUUUGGUUGUUAUUGGAACAUCUGUGGUUGUUGUGGGAGCAGCUGUGGUUGUUGUGGGUGCAUCUGUGGUUGUUGUGGGAGAUUCUGUGGUUGUUGUCGGAGCAGCUGUGGUUGUUGUGGGAGAAGCUGUGGUUGUUGUUGGAGCCACUGUAGUUGUUGUGGUUGCAGAUGUGGUUGUUGUUGGAGCCACUGUGGUUGUUGAUGGAACGUCUGAGGUUGUUGUCGGAGCAUCUGUGGUUGUUGUUGGAACAUCUGUGGUUGUUGUUGGAGCAGCUGGGGUUGUUGUGGGUGCAUCUGUGGUUGUUGUGGGAGAUUCUGUGGUUGUUGUCGGAGCAGCUGUGGUUGUUGUGGGAGAAGAUGUGGUUGUUGUGGGUGCAUCUGUGGUUGUUAUUGGAGCCACUGUGGUUGUUGUUGGAGCCAAUAUUGUUGUUGUGGAUGCAGAUGUGGUUGUUGUUGGAGCCAAUGUGGUGGAUGUGGGAGCAUCUUCGGUUGUUGUGGGAGCAGCUGUGGUUGUUGUGGGUGCAUCUGUGGUUGUUGUUGGAGCAGCUGUGGUUGUUGUGGGAGCAGCUGUGGUUGUUGUGGGUGCAUCUGUGGUUGUUGUGGGAGAUUCUGUGGUUGUUGUCGGAGCAGCUGUGGUUGUGGUGGGAGAAGCUGUGGUUGUUGUCGGAACAUCUGUGGUUGUUGUGGGAGCAGCUGUGGUUGUUGUGGGUGCAUCUGUGGUUGUUGUUGGAGCCACUGUGGUUGUUGUGGGAGCCAAUGUUGUUGUUGUGGCUGCAGAUGUGGAUGUUGUUGGAGCCACUGUGUUGGUUGUGGGAGCAUCUUCGGUUGUUGUGGGAGCAGCUGUGGUUGUUGUGGGUGGAUCUGUGGUUGUUGUUGGAGCAGCUGUGGUUGUUGUGGGAGAAGCUGUGGUUGUUGUGGGAGCAACCGUGGUUGUUGUGGAAGCAUCUGUGGUUGUUGUGGGUGCAGAUGUGGUUGUUGUUUGAUCAUCUGUGGUUGUUGUUGGAGCAGCUGUGGUUGUUGUUGGAACAUCUGUGGUUGUUGUGAGAGCAGCUGUGGUUGUUGUGGGUGCAUCUGUGGUUGUUGUGGGAGAUUCUGUGGUUGUUGUCGGAGCAGCUGUGGUUGUUGUGGGAGAAGCUGUGUUUGUUGUGGGAGAAGCAGUGGUUGUUGUUGGAGCCAAUGUAGUUGUUGUGGUUGCAGAUGUGGUUGUUGUUGAUGGAACGUCUGAGGAUGUUGUCGGAGCAGCUGUGGUUGUUGUUGGAACAUCUGUGGUUGUUGUUGGAGCAGCUGUGGUUGUUGUUGGAACAUCUGUGGUUGUUGUGGGAGCAGCUGUGGUUGUUGUGGGUGCAUCUGUGGUUGUUGUGGGAGAUUCUGUGGUUGUUGUCGGAGCAGCUGUGGUUGUUGUGGGAGAAGCUGUGGUUGUUGUUGGAACAUCUGUGGUUGUUGUGGGAUCAGCUGUGGUUGUUGUGGGUGCAUCUGUGGUUGUUGUUGGAGCCACUGUGGUUGUUGUUUGAGCCAAUGUUGUUGUUGUGGCUGCAGAUGUGGAUGUUGUUGGAGCCACUGUGGUGGAUGUGGGAGCAUCUUCGUUUGUUGUGGGAGGAGCUGUGGUUGUUGUGGGUGGAUCUGCUGUUGUUGUUGGAGCAGCUGUGGUUCUUGAGGGAGAAGCUGUGGUUGUUGUGGGAGCAACCGUGGUUGUUGUGGGAGCAGCUGUGGUUGUUGUGGAUGCAAUUGUGGUUGUUGUUGGAGCAGCUGUGGUUGUUGUUGGAGCAGCUGUGGUUGUUGUUGGAGCCACUGUGGUGGAUGUGGGAGCAUCUUCGGUUGUUGUGGGAGCAGCUGUGGUUGUUGUGGGUGCAUCUGUGGUUGUUGUUGGAGCAGCUGUGGUUGUUGUGGGAGCAGCUGAAGUUGUUGUGGGUGCAUCUGUGGUUGUUGUGGGAGCCACUGUGGUUGUUGUUGGAGCCAAUGUUGUUGUUGUGGCUGCAGAUGUGGUUGUUGUUGGAGCCACUGUGGUGGAUGUGGGAGCAUCUUCAGUUGUUGUGGGAGCAGCUGUGGUUGUUGUGGGUGGAUCUGUGGUUGUUGUUGGAGCAGCUGUGGUUGUUGUGGGAGAAGCUGUGGUUGUUGUGGGAGCAGCCGUGGUUGUUGUUGGAGCAGCUGUGGUUGUUGUUGGAACAUCUGUGGUUGUUGUGGGAGAAGCUGUGUUUGUUGUGGGAGAAGAAGUGGUUGUUGUUGGAGCCACUGUAGUUGUUGUUGUUGCAGAUAUGGUUGUUGUUGGAGCCACUGUGGUUGUUGAUGGAACGUCUGAGGUUGUUGUCGGAGCAGCUGUGGUUGUUGUUGGAACAUCUGUGGUUGUUGUUGUAGCAGCUGGGGUUGUUGUGGGUGCAUCUGUGGUUGUUGUGUGAGAUUCUGUGGUUGUUGUCGGAGCAGCUUUGGUUGUUGUGGGAGAAGCUGUGGUUGUUGUUGGAACAUCUGUGGUUGUUGUGGGAGCAGCUGUGGUUGUUGUGGGUGCAUCUGUGGUUGUUGUUGGAGCCACUGUGGUGGUUGUGGGAGCAUCUUCGGUUGUUGUGGGAGCAGCUGUGGUUGUUGUGGGUGGAUCUGUGGUUGUUGUUGGAGCAGCUGUGGUGGUUGUGGGAGAAGCUGUGGUUGUUGUGGGAGCAACCGUGGUUGUUGUGGAAGCAUCUGUGGUUGUUGUGGGUGCAGAUGUGGUUGUUGUUGGAUCAUCUGGGGUUGUUGUUGGAGCAGCUGUGGUUAUUGUUGGAACAUCUGUGGUUGUUGUGAGAGCAGCUGUGUUUGUUGUGGGUGCAUCUGUGGUCGUUGUGGGAGAUUCUGUGGUUGUUGUCGGAGCAGCUGUGGUUGUUGUGGGAGAAGCUGUGUUUGUUGUGGGAGAAGCAGUGGUUGUUGUUGGAGCCACUGUAGUUGUUGUGGUUGCAGAUGUGGUUGUUGUUGAUGGAACGUCUGAGGAUGUUGUCGGAGCAGCUGUGGUUGUUGUUGGAACAGCUGUGGUUGUUGUUGGAGCAGCUGUGGUUGUUGUUGGAACAUCUGUGGUUGUUGUGGGAGCAGCUGUGGUUGUUGUGGGUGCAUCUGUGGUUGUUGUGGAAGAAUCUGUGGUUGUUGUCGGAGUAGCUGUGGUUGUUGUGGGAGAAGCUGUGGUUGUUGUUGGAACAUCUGUGGUUGUUGUGGGAUCAGCUGUGGUUGUUGUGGGUGCAUCUCUGGUUGUUUUUGGAGCCACUGUGGUUGUUGUUGGAGCCAAUGUUGUUGUUGUGGCUGCAGAUGUGGAUGUUGUUGGAGCCACUGUGGUGGAUGUGGGAGCAUCUUCGGUUGUUGUGAGAGGAGCUGUGGUUGUUGUGGGUGGAUCUGUUGUUGUUGUUGGAGCAGCUGUGGUUCUUGUGGGAGAAGCUGUGGUUGUUGUGGGAGCAACCGUGGUUGUUGUGGGAGCAGCUGUGGUUGUUGUGGGUGCAAUUGUGGUUGUUGUUGGAGCAGCUGUGGUUGUUGUGGGAGCAGCUGUGGUUGUUGUGUGUGCAAUUGUGGUUGUUGUUGGAGCAGCUGUGGUUGUUGUGGUUGCAGAUGUGGUUGUUGUUGGAGCCACUGUGGUUAUUGAUGGAACGUCUAAGGUUGUUGUCGGAGCAGCUGUGGUUGUUGUUGGAACAUCUGUGGUUGUUGUUGGAGCAGCUGUGGUUGUUGUUGGAACAUCUGUGGUUGUUGUGGGAACAGCUGUGGUUGUUGUGGGUGCAUCUGUGUUUGUUGUGGGAGAUUCUGUGGUUGUUGUCGGAGCAGCUGUGGUUGUUGUGGGAGAAGCUGUGUUUGUUGUGGGAGAAGCAGUGGUUGUUGUUGGAGCCACUGUGGUUGUUGUGGGUGGAGAUGUGGUUGUUGUUGGAACAGCUGUGGUUGUUGUGGGUGAAGAUGUGGUUGUUGUUGGAACAGCUGUGGUUGUUGUGGGAGAAGCAGUAAUUGUUGGGAGAGCAGCUGUGGUUGUUAUGGUAGCAGCUGUGGUUGUUCUGGGAGAAGCUGUGGUUGUUGUUGGAGAAGCUGUGGUUGUUGUUAGAACAUCUGGGGUUGUUGUCAGAGAAUCUGUGGUUGUUGUGGGAACAGCUGUGGUUGUUGUGGAAGCAACUGUGAUUGUUGUAUCCACAGCUGAAGUUGGAGUUGAGGCUGCUGGGGGUUGUGUUGGUGCAAUGACCUCUGUAAUUAUGAAAUGGAUGUUAGGUAUUUUAUUCUUAUUGGUCCAAUGGUGUUCUAUAGGAUUUCAUUAUACCUGAAACGUUGUAACUGUACAGUGGCUAAAAAUUGUGUACAACUCUAAACAAAUUGACAAAAAAUCCAGUCAACAAAGUUACAGACGUUUCAUCAAGUGUUGAGGACGUAGGGUUACUCAGUUUUGCUUCUUGUUGUUAAGCUUAAGAUAAGAAGGUAUUGGGUUUUCUCUUCAGAAGUAAACAUUUUUACAACCACAUUUGUUAGAUUGUUUUCUAUGUCAAAUAGCAAAAAUAAAAGACUGAUAAUCAACUCCAGGCUGCGUAGUUAAAUGGAAAUGACCGACUUCACCUGUUUGGUAUCAUAUCACACCC
RNAcentral lists this long non-coding RNA (14630 nucleotides) under Salmo salar (Atlantic salmon). RNAcentral describes it as "lncRNA (ENSSSAG00000121861.1)". Lineage: Eukaryota; Metazoa; Chordata; Actinopteri; Salmoniformes; Salmonidae. The record is from RNAcentral.